UCUGCCACUGCUUCCAAACUCCUCAGCAGAAAAGGAGCACAAAAAUCAUUUUCCCAGGAGGAUACUGAUAGCAGGAUAGAAAUAACACAGUAAACACAAUUAUCUUGAGCUAUCUGGCUCAAUGUAGAAACCAAAGGGGUCAAUUUGCAAAACAGCUGCACUCAGCUCCAUAGAGGUCUGGGGGAUUAAUUUCUCACACAUGAACGACUGGAUAUUUAUCUGAUUUUUUUUUUCCUGCUCUUCGAGAGACUUUGGACAGCUUUCCCAGUGUCUGUUUAGGAGCUGCUCUCAAGUUGCAGGUGGUCCUUGCUACAGGGAAUGGCACAUCCACGGGACACUGUGAGCUGCCACAGCCAAGAGCACAGAGCACUCUGCUGAGGUCUACACCAGGGCAACACAAACUAUUGCAAUGCCUCGUCUUUGACAGGCUCUCCAGGGACCUUCACAGAUGUUUUGGAAGCUGUUUUGCAGCAACAGCUUCAUUAGAAGGACUCAGCAGGAACUCUUCACUCACUUCUCCUUGCAACCUCUCCCUGCCACAUUAUAACAAUGGAUUCCAUCUACCUCAUGUAAUGGCCCAUUGGUUUGGCUGUCAGCAAGAACUGGACCUGAGGCACAUACCUCUGGAGUAGUUGACUAAUCCAAUUAAGUGGAAGCAACAGAAAGCCCAGUAGCAGAGCCUUGAACAAAACAUGGAUCUCAAGAAAUACCUGAAAGUUUAGAUCCUGCCAGGCUAACCUUCUAAUCCACUUUCAAGUUUGUGUUCAGACAAGCUCUUCAGAAGCUGUGAAAUAAGCCCAAAGAAUUUCUGGAUUACAUCACUUAUCUAUAUUUGUUCUGAUGCAAUUCCUUUUUACAGACCAGUUUGGUAUCCCUUUCCCCCCCAUCUUUCUUCCUGCAAUUAUUGCAAAGCCACCCACAUGGUGCCUAUUUCAUGGUGAACUGGAUUUUCUUAGCUGGUCCCAUUUCUUCCUUAAGUAAGAGCUGCCAAGCUCCAGGUGUGCUCUCGAGC
Molecule: long non-coding RNA, 1012 nt
Filed under: Chloebia gouldiae (Gouldian finch)
Lineage: Eukaryota; Metazoa; Chordata; Aves; Passeriformes; Passeridae
Description: Erythrura gouldiae (Gouldian finch) lncRNA (ENSEGOG00005004198.1)
Source: RNAcentral